Molecule: non-coding RNA, 73 nt
Organism: Nymphaea colorata (pocket water lily)
Lineage: Eukaryota; Viridiplantae; Streptophyta; Magnoliopsida; Nymphaeales; Nymphaeaceae
Source: the annotation of a RefSeq genome assembly
GCUCGCGUAGCUCAGUCGGUAGAGCGCUCGGCUGUUAACCGAAAGGUCGGUGGUUCAAACCCACCCGUGAGCG